RNAcentral lists this ribosomal RNA (253 nucleotides) under uncultured bacterium. RNAcentral's name for it is "partial 16S ribosomal RNA". It matches the Rfam family "Bacterial small subunit ribosomal RNA", at positions 524 to 776 of the family's 1533-position model. The record is from RNAcentral.
UACGUAGGGGGCUAGCGUUGUCCGGGAUCAUUGGGCGUAAAGCGCGUGUAGGCGGUCCGGUAAGUCCGCUGUGAAAGUCGGGGGCUCAACCCUCGGAUGCCGGUGGAUACUGUCGGGCUUGAGUACGGAAGAGGCGAGUGGAAUUCCUGGUGUAGCGGUGAAAUGCGCAGAUAUCAGGAGGAACACCAAUUGCGAAGGCAGCUCGCUGGGACGUUACUGACGCUGAGGCGCGAAAGCGUGGGGAGCAAACAGG